RNAcentral lists this ribosomal RNA (466 nucleotides) under uncultured bacterium. RNAcentral's name for it is "partial 16S ribosomal RNA". It matches the Rfam family "Bacterial small subunit ribosomal RNA", at positions 28 to 507 of the family's 1533-position model. The record is from RNAcentral.
GACGAACGCUGGCGGCGUGCUUAACACAUGCAAGUCGAACGGAAAGGCCCUGCUUGCAGGGUACUCGAGUGGCGAACGGGUGAGUAACACGUGGGUGAUCUGCCCUGCACUUCGGGAUAAGCCUGGGAAACUGGGUCUAAUACCGGAUAGGAGCCAUUGUUAGUGUGAUGGUUGGAAAGUUUUUUUCGGUGUAGGAUGAGCUCGCGGCCUAUCAGCUUGUUGGUGGGGUAAUGGCCUACAAAGGCGGCGACGGGUAUCCGGCCUGAGAGGGUGGACGGCCACAGUGGGACUGAGAUACAGCCCAGACUCCUACGGGAGGCAGCAGCGGGGAAUGUUGCACAAGGGGCGCAAGCCUGAUGCAGCUACGCCGCGUGGGGGAGGACGGCCUUCGGUUUGUAAACUCCUUUCGCUAGGGACGAAGCUUUUUGUGACGUUACCUAGAUAAGAAGCACCGGCUAACUACGUG